AGUGAACGCUGGCGGUAGGCCUAACACAUGCAAGUCGAACGGCAGCACAGUAAGAGCUUGCUCUUACGGGUGGCGAGUGGCGGACGGGUGAGGAAUACAUCGGAAUCUACUUUUUCGUGGGGGAUAACGUAGGGAAACUUACGCUAAUACCGCAUACGACCUACGGGUGAAAGCAGGGGAUCUUCGCACCUUGCGCGAUUGAAUGAGCCGAUGUCGGAUUAGCUAGUUGGCUGGGUAAAGGCCCACCAAGGCGACGAUCCGUAGCUGGUCUGAGAGGAUGAUCGGCCACACUGGAACUGAGACACGGUCCAGACUCCUACGGGAGGCAGCAGUGGGGAAUCUUGGACAAUGGGCGCAAGCCUGAUCCAGCCAUACCGCGUGGGUGAAGAAGGCCUUCGGGUUGUAAAGCCCUUUUGUUGGGAAAGAAAAGCAGCAGGUUAAUACCCCGAUGUUCUGACGGUACCCAAAGAAUAAGCACCGGCUAACUUCGUG
RNAcentral lists this ribosomal RNA (492 nucleotides) under uncultured bacterium. RNAcentral describes it as "partial 16S ribosomal RNA". It matches the Rfam family "Bacterial small subunit ribosomal RNA", at positions 29 to 507 of the family's 1533-position model. The record is from RNAcentral.